GUCCUUAGUUACCAGCACGUUAUAGGUGGGCACUCUAAGGAGACUGCCGGUGACAAACCGGAGGAAGGUGGGGAUGACGUCAAGUCAUCAUGGCCCUUACGGCCUGGGCUACACACGUGCUACAAUGGUCGGUACAAAGGGUUGCCAAGCCGCGAGGUGGAGCUAAUCCCAUAAAACCGAUCGUAGUCCGGAUCGCAGUCUGCAACUCGACUGCGUGAAGUCGGAAUCGCUAGUAAUCGUGAAUCAGAAUGUCACGGUGAAUACGUUCCCGGGCCUU
This 277-nucleotide ribosomal RNA is filed under the name uncultured Pseudomonas sp. Its description in RNAcentral is "partial 16S ribosomal RNA". It matches the Rfam family "Bacterial small subunit ribosomal RNA", at positions 1107 to 1382 of the family's 1533-position model. Lineage: Bacteria; Pseudomonadati; Pseudomonadota; Gammaproteobacteria; Pseudomonadales; Pseudomonadaceae. The record is from RNAcentral.